Molecule: long non-coding RNA, 204 nt
Filed under: Elaeis guineensis (African oil palm)
Lineage: Eukaryota; Viridiplantae; Streptophyta; Magnoliopsida; Arecales; Arecaceae
Description: long non-coding RNA (EGUI_LNC078273)
Source: RNAcentral
AAUCUAAAAUUUGUUAUAACAGAAUAGCUAGUUGUAGGAAAGUUGUAAGCUCUCUUAAGUUAGAAAAUAACCGUGUCAUAGUCGUAAUACAACUAUAAUAUAACUGAAAGAUAACUGACUUGAAGCCUUGUUGGCUGAGUAAUAGAUCAACUAAAAUUGAUGUCCCACUAAUAUAAACUGAGUAGGUCGUCUAUUAUAGCACCA